This 65-nucleotide transfer RNA is filed under the name Pharyngocirrus uchidai. RNAcentral's name for it is "tRNA-Thr". It matches the Rfam family "tRNA". Rfam says of the family: Transfer RNA (tRNA) molecules are approximately 80 nucleotides in length. The record is from RNAcentral. Lineage: Eukaryota; Metazoa; Annelida; Polychaeta; Saccocirridae.
GCUGUAAUAGCUGAAUAUAAAGCAUCGGUCUUGUAAACCGAGAGGUGAGUUUAACUCUUACAGCU